GACGAACGCUGGCGGCGUGCCUAAUACAUGCCAGUCGAGCGAGCUUGCCUAGAUGAAUUUGGUGCUUGCACCAGAUGAAACUAGAUACAAGCGAGCGGCGGACGGGUGAGUAACACGUGGGUAACCUGCCCAAGAGACUGGGAUAACACCUGGAAACAGAUGCUAAUACCGGAUAACAACACUAGACGCAUGUCUAGAGUUUAAAAGAUGGUUCUGCUAUCACUCUUGGAUGGACCUGCGGUGCAUUAGCUAGUUGGUAAGGCAACGGCUUACCAAGGCAAUGAUGCAUAGCCGAGUUGAGAGACUGAUCGGCCACAUUGGGACUGAGACACGGCCCAAACUCCUACGGGAGGCAGCAGUAGGGAAUCUUCCACAAUGGACGCAAGUCUGAUGGAGCAACGCCGCGUGAGUGAAGAAGGGUUUCGGCUCGUAAAGCUCUGUUGGUAGUGAAGAAAGAUAGAGGUAGUAACUGGCCUUUAUUUGACGGUAAUUACUUAGAAAGUCACGGCUAACUACGUG
RNAcentral lists this ribosomal RNA (519 nucleotides) under uncultured bacterium. Its description in RNAcentral is "partial 16S ribosomal RNA". It matches the Rfam family "Bacterial small subunit ribosomal RNA", at positions 28 to 507 of the family's 1533-position model. The record is from RNAcentral.